This 460-nucleotide ribosomal RNA is filed under the name uncultured bacterium. RNAcentral describes it as "partial 16S ribosomal RNA". It matches the Rfam family "Bacterial small subunit ribosomal RNA", at positions 338 to 795 of the family's 1533-position model. The record is from RNAcentral.
CCUACGGGUGGCAGCAGUGAGGAAUAUUGGUCAAUGGGCGGAAGCCUGAACCAGCCACGUAGCGUGCAGGAUGACGGCCCUCCGGGUUGUAAACUGCUUUUAUACGGGAAUAACGCGCCUUACGUGGAGAGCUUUGCAUGUACUGUAUGAAUAAGGACCGGCUAAUUCCGUGCCAGCAGCCGUGGUAAUACGGAAGGUCCGGGCGUUAUCCGGAUUUAUUGGGGUUAAAGGGAGCGUAGGCCGCAUGUCAAGCGUGCUGUGAAAUGUCCGGGCUCAACCCGGACCUUGCAGCGCGAACUGGCUGGCUUGAGUCCGCGGAAAGCAGGCGGAAUUCGUCGUGUAGCGGUGAAAUGCUUAGAUAUGACGAAGAACCCCGAUUGCGAAGGCAGCUUGCUGCAGCGGAACUGACGCUGAUGCUCGAAAGCGCGGGUAUCGAACAGGAUUAGAUACCCCAGUAGUC